GACUCACCUGUGGAGCAGCUGGAUGUGCGCUGGCUGCUGGCCGAACAUCUGGUCAUCAGACUGAACCGAGACCAGAUCAUCUACAGCAUCAGCUACAGGAACAGGACUGAACUACUAGCAGGGGGCACCAGCCGUGGAGAUUUCUCCCUGACCAUCACACACACACAGCUAGGAGAAAGCAGAGUGUAUCGAUGUGUGAUUUUCAGAGAAGAGCAGGAUCUGACACUCACAGAGCUUCAGCUCUCAGUAUAAGCUCCUCACUCUCCCAGUGCUGUUUUCAGAGCUGGUGGUGAGGUGGUUCUGCUGUGUUUUGGUUGUGUGGACUGGAUGGAUUCAGAAGCUGAAUUUGUUCAAUGGAAGAGGGGCUGGAUAGUUCUAGUGUGGGUACAGGGAUCUCUACAUGGGCAUCCUCAGUUUACAGACAGACUGUCUCUGCCUAAAGAGAUAGUCCUACAGGAUAACAUCUCUCUGGAGUUAGGGAGUUUACAAGUGCUCAUUUGUGAAGAACAAAGCCUUCAGACUCACUGCAGGGGACCAGGGACUUUACCUGUGCUUCUUUGUGAAGGAUGAAGCCGUCAGACUGGCUGCACAGAUUAAUCUCAGCAUUACAGAUCAUAUGACCUGGUUUGAGGCAGGGUUUGGUUCCUCUUUGCUGCUCCCCCUCCACACUGUAUCUCCAGUGAUUGUGAGCUUCCUGCCUGAUGGAGGGAACAGUUCUGUAUGAGUGUGUGAGGUGGAGAAAGAGCAGAUGGAGUGUAAAGCAUCUUAUUCACACCGUACAGAUCUACAGCAGCACUUCCUGGAGCUAAGGAAGCUCUCUAUGGAGGAUUCUGGAAUGCUCUCAGUGAUGGAGAGAGAAACACAGCACACUGUCAGUGUCCUCUUUAUACAGGUGUUCCCUCCAUCUACAGGUCACACUGUGGAACAAGCAGAUUCACUAUCGGUGCUGAUUUUCAUUGCACCCCUUUCACUGUUACUGCUGGGUUCCAUGUUCACCAUAAUCUCGCAGAUGGUGUGGAGACAGAGGUGUCUCGCAGGAAGCUGAAUCCCAGCACUUAAACCACACUAAUUCCACCAGCAGUAAACAUUCAGAUUCCACUGAGAUUGUCAUAAUUAGGUCAUGACAACCCCCCUUCCUAAAUGACCUUAACAAAUGAUAUUUUAUUUCAGAUUUCUGUAUUUCUCUUGUUAUACAGGCUUUAAAACAUUUUGUUAAACUCUGAAAAGCUGAUAUUUUCAAGACUCUAAAUGAGUGGAUUAUUGCCAUGAAAUCUGGUCAGUUUACAGUGGUUUACUUCAGUUUAAUUUCCUUUCUCUGUGUCAUUUAGUUUUUUUUUAGGUGAUUGUGAGUAGGAUCUUCAGUCAUUUGCUUCUUUCUUAAAGGGGUGAUUCACUGCUGUUCUCACCUACACAACCUCAAUAUUUCAGUAUUUCUGCUCACUUAGAGCUGUUCUGGCUGAAAUCAGAUCUGAAGCAGUGAAGAUAUUUAAUAGUUUAGUAAAGCUUGAUUAAAUAUGUGUGCAUAACAAAAAAAGAAAGAAAGGAAGGAAAAAAUCUUAUGUUCAGAUGUGUUGAAAUGUUUUGUUACAUCUUUAUUUUUAUAUGAAGUGAUAUUGUAUUAAUCUAGUCUGUCUUAAACGGUCAAACUACUGUGACUGUAAGAAUUGAAGUGAGUCUUAUUACCGUAACUGUAAUUUCAGUGUUAUUACAGUAAUAUUCCUGUCUAGAUGGAGAAUCAGACCGUCACUGUCCUGCUGUUCAGAUGAUGAUGUUUCUUUAAACUAAUAAAUGAGUUUAAAAGUA
Pygocentrus nattereri (red-bellied piranha) is the source of this 1803-nucleotide long non-coding RNA. RefSeq lists it as uncharacterized. Lineage: Eukaryota; Metazoa; Chordata; Actinopteri; Characiformes; Serrasalmidae. The transcript is spliced from 4 exons. The record is from RefSeq and is a predicted model, not a curated record.